Molecule: ribosomal RNA, 274 nt
Filed under: uncultured bacterium
Lineage: Bacteria
Description: partial 16S ribosomal RNA
Rfam family: Bacterial small subunit ribosomal RNA
Source: RNAcentral
AUACGGGGGGUGCAAGCGUUAAUCGGAAUUACUGGGCGUAAAGCGCGCGUAGGCGGUUAAAUAAGUUGGAUGUGAAAUCCCCGGGCUCAACCUGGGAACUGCAUUCAAAACUGUUUAACUAGAGUAUGAUAGAGGGAAGUGGAAUUCCAGGUGUAGCGGUGAAAUGCGUAGAUAUCUGGAGGAACAUCAGUGGCGAAGGCGACUUCCUGGAUCAAUACUGACGCUGAGGUGCGAAAGCGUGGGGAGCAAACAGAAUUAGAAACCCCAGUAGUCC